This 724-nucleotide ribosomal RNA is filed under the name uncultured bacterium. RNAcentral's name for it is "bacterial SSU rRNA". It matches the Rfam family "Bacterial small subunit ribosomal RNA", at positions 28 to 776 of the family's 1533-position model. The record is from RNAcentral.
GAUGAACGCUGACAGAAUGCUUAACACAUGCAAGUCUACUUGAUCCUUCGGGUGAUGGUGGCGGACGGGUGAGUAACGCGUAAAGAACUUGCCCUGCAGUCUGGGACAACAUUUGGAAACGAAUGCUAAUACCGGAUAUUAUGUGAGUUUCGCAUGAAAUUCAUAUGAAAGCUAUAUGCGCUGCAGGAGAGCUUUGCGUCCUAUUAGCUAGUUGGUGAGGUAACGGCUCACCAAGGCGAUGAUAGGUAGCCGGCCUGAGAGGGUGAACGGCCACAAGGGGACUGAGACACGGCCCUUACUCCUACGGGAGGCAGCAGUGGGGAAUAUUGGACAAUGGACCAAAAGUCUGAUCCAGCAAUUCUGUGUGCACGAUGAAGUUUUUCGGAAUGUAAAGUGCUUUCAGUUGGGACGAAGUAAGUGACGGUACCAACAGAAGAAGCGACGGCUAAAUACGUGCCAGCAGCCGCGGUAAUACGUAUGUCGCAAGCGUUAUCCGGAUUUAUUGGGCGUAAAGCGCGUCUAGGCGGUUUGGUAAGUCUGAUGUGAAAAUGCGGGGCUCAACUCCGUAUUGCGUUGGAAACUGCCAAACUAGAGUACUGGAGAGGUAGGCGGAACUACAAGUGUAGAGGUGAAAUUCGUAGAUAUUUGUAGGAAUGCCGAUGGGGAAGCCAGCCUACUGGACAGAUACUGACGCUAAAGCGCGAAAGCGUGGGUAGCANACAGG